Trichobilharzia regenti is the source of this 46-nucleotide non-coding RNA. The record is from Rfam. NCBI's taxonomy places the organism in Eukaryota, Metazoa, Platyhelminthes, Trematoda, Strigeidida, Schistosomatidae.
CUGCUGUCGAAGAGUCCCAAACUAGGACGAAACAGCUGUCUAGCAC